Long non-coding RNA from Mustela lutreola (European mink), 515 nucleotides. RefSeq lists it as uncharacterized. The record is from RefSeq and is a predicted model, not a curated record. The transcript is spliced from 3 exons. NCBI's taxonomy places the organism in Eukaryota, Metazoa, Chordata, Mammalia, Carnivora, Mustelidae.
UGGUUUUUCCUGCUGUUUGUUUUUGCUGGGUUGUGAUUCUGCGUCACUCCCGAUAAACUGAUCUUUUGCUGGUAAAAUAACUAGCAGUUUUAUUUUUAAUACGAACAAAAACUAAAACAAAUCAUCCUGGUGGUGUUUGAAAGGAACCAGUGGAAAGAAAGUAAAGCGUGCAUGUGAGGGACAUCUGUCUCCUAGAAAGAUGCUGUUUAAAAUAUUUCUGCAGGAAAGAAAAGAAAAAAAAAAAAAAAAGAAAAGUAAAAAAGAAAAGAAAAAAAAAAGCCAGCAGAUCUCUCUGUUCGAACUUCAGACCUCCAAAGAGAAUUUCCAAGAAGCGGACGAAAUCUGUGUUUUGGUGAUGGACAGACCCAGGACUGAGUCUCUCCCAGCUCCUGUUCUAUAUAUUUAUUUGACAGAGAGAGAGACAGCAGGAGAGGUAACACAAGCAGAUGCAGAUAUGUGAUACCUGGAAGGAUACAUGGAAACAAAAGCAUGUGGGGAAAAAAUACGGAUGAAGG